Molecule: ribosomal RNA, 454 nt
Filed under: Streptococcus mitis
Lineage: Bacteria; Bacillati; Bacillota; Bacilli; Lactobacillales; Streptococcaceae
Description: bacterial SSU rRNA
Rfam family: Bacterial small subunit ribosomal RNA
Source: RNAcentral
GACGAACGCUGGCGGCGUGCCUAAUACAUGCAAGUAGAACGCUGAAGAGAGGAGCUUGCUCUUCUUGGAUGAGUUGCGAACGGGUGAGUAACGCGUAGGUAACCUGCCUGGUAGCGGGGGAUAACUAUUGGAAACGAUAGCUAAUACCGCAUAAUAGCAGUUAUUGCAUGAUAACUGUUUAAAAGGUGCAAUUGCAUCACUACCAGAUGGACCUGCGUUGUAUUAGCUAGUUGGUGAGGUAACGGCUCACCAAGGCGACGAUACAUAGCCGACCUGAGAGGGUGAUCGGCCACACUGGGACUGAGACACGGCCCAGACUCCUACGGGAGGCAGCAGUAGGGAAUCUUCGGCAAUGGACGGAAGUCUGACCGAGCAACGCCGCGUGAGUGAAGAAGGUUUUCGGAUCGUAAAGCUCUGUUGUAAGAGAAGAACGAGUGUGAGAGUGGAAAGUUCA